ACGCUAGCGGGAGGCCUAACACAUGCAAGCCGAGCGGUAGAAGAUCUUCGGAUCUUUGAGAGCGGCGCACGGGUGCGGAACACGUGUGCAACCUACCUUUAUCAGGGGGAUAGCCUUUCGAAAGGAAGAUUAAUACCCCAUAAUAUAUUGAAUGGCAUCAUUUGAUAUUGAAAACUCCGGUGGAUAGAGAUGGGCACGCGCAAGAUUAGAUAGUUGGUGAGGUAACGGCUCACCAAGUCAAUGAUCUUUAGGGGGCCUGAGAGGGUGAUCCCCCACACUGGUACUGAGACACGGACCAGACUCCUACGGGAGGCAGCAGUGAGGAAUAUUGGACAAUGGGUGAGAGCCUGAUCCAGCCAUCCCGCGUGAAGGACGACGGCCCUAUGGGUUGUAAACUUCUUUUGUAUAGGGAUAAACCUUUCCACGUGUGGAAAGCUGAAGGUACUAUACAAAUAAGCACCGGCUAACUCCGUGCCAGCAGCCGCGGUAAUACGGAGGGUGCAAGCGUUAUCCGGAUUUAUUGGGUUUAAAGGGUCCGUAGGCGGACUCGUAAGUCAGUGGUGAAAUCUCAUAGCUUAACUAUGAAACUGCCAUUGAUACUGCGGGUCUUGAGUAAGGUAGAGGUAGCUGGAAUAAGUAGUGUA
This 644-nucleotide ribosomal RNA is filed under the name uncultured bacterium. RNAcentral describes it as "bacterial SSU rRNA". It matches the Rfam family "Bacterial small subunit ribosomal RNA", at positions 33 to 677 of the family's 1533-position model. The record is from RNAcentral.